GGAUUAGAUACCCUGGUAGUCCACGCCCUAAACGAUGUGUACUAGAUCGCGGAGGUUUUGACGCCAUCGCGGUCGAAGCAAAAGUAUUAAGUACACCGCCUGGGGAGUACGGUCGCAAGGCUAAAACUCAAAGGAAUUGACGGGGGCUCACACAAGCGGUGGAGCAUGUGGCUUAAUUCGAAGCAACGCGAAGAACCUUAUCCAGGGUUUGACAUGGUUGGAUUAGCUUCCCGAAAAGGAAGUGACGCGUUUACGUGGAACAACCACAGGUGCUGCAUGGCUGUCGUCAGCUCGUGCCG
RNAcentral lists this ribosomal RNA (299 nucleotides) under uncultured bacterium. RNAcentral's name for it is "partial 16S ribosomal RNA". It matches the Rfam family "Bacterial small subunit ribosomal RNA", at positions 775 to 1067 of the family's 1533-position model. The record is from RNAcentral.